CUGGGUCCUAAGCAUCCGUAGCCGGCUCUGUAAGUUUUCGGUUAAAUCUGUAUGCUCAACAUACAGGCUGCCGGGAAUACUGCAGAGCUAGGGAGUGGGAGAGGUAGACGGUACUCGGUAGGAAGGGGUAAAAUCCUUUGAUCUAUUGAUGACCACCUGUGGCGAAGGCGGUCUACCAGAACACGUCCGACGGUGAGGGAUGAAAGCUGGGGGAGCAAACCGGAUUAGAUACCCGGGUAGUCCCAGCUGUAAACUAUGCAAACUCAGUGAUGCAUUGGCUUGUGGCCAAUGCAGUGCUGCAGGGAAGCCGUUAAGUUUGCCGUCGUGGGAAGU
This 333-nucleotide ribosomal RNA is filed under the name uncultured crenarchaeote. Its description in RNAcentral is "bacterial SSU rRNA". It matches the Rfam family "Archaeal small subunit ribosomal RNA", at positions 504 to 836 of the family's 1478-position model. Lineage: Archaea; Thermoproteati; Thermoproteota. The record is from RNAcentral.